Salmo salar (Atlantic salmon) is the source of this 93-nucleotide non-coding RNA. Lineage: Eukaryota; Metazoa; Chordata; Actinopteri; Salmoniformes; Salmonidae. The record is from Rfam.
GUGUCUGUGGCUCAGUUGGUAGAGCAUGGUGUUUGCAACGCCAGCAUGGUAUGUGCAACGCCAGGGUUGUGGGUUCGAUUCCCACGGGGGACC